AUUUCGAUUGUGUGUUGAUAGAUCCGUCAUACAGUUAUUCAGUGAGGACAAACAGUUUUAUAUAUUCGAGCUUGGGAAACAUACCUUUGCCACAAAAGCCGCAGUAUUCGCUCUUACGGGAGCCCGUUGUGUGCGUUGCCUCAUGACACUUGAGAUGGCGUUGAUUGAUGAACAGUCUGUCGCAGCCGCUAUGUCGACAUCUCAGCUGCCGCUCGGGCUUGUGCCAAUUCAUGUGGUAAUGCAAACUUUUACGGGUGAAGAAACGCUUCUCGCACAUGCUGCACUCGAAAUCCGUCUCCGAGUGAUAUUUCUCAAUGUGAUGACGUAGAUUAUGACGGUCGCCGUACUUUUUGCCGCACACCUCGCAGCCAUAAUGCUUCACAACAUGGCUGCUCUUCAUGUGCACCGUACGCGAUGCGGCGUCUUGGAAACAUUCCGUGCAUUCCGGACAAUUGUAUGGCUGAUCCGGAUCAUGGGCGCUACUAAUGUGCUCUAAGAGCAAAUGCUGCAGUUCGUAGCUCUCUUCAGCUAAAAUACUUGCCUUCCCAUUUUAAAAUAUUCACGCCUGGCGGAAAAAUAGCCAAAUCGGCACAACUGUCUGAAUCAAAAUAUUCAGAAAGCAGUGAAGUAUAAAACAUCCAGCUGGGUUGCUGGGUCACUGUGCUCCGUUUGGAAAUGCAAAAAGCUAGAUAGAGCUUUUUUGAGCGCCAACAUUCGAAAUGCAUC
Molecule: long non-coding RNA, 726 nt
Organism: Drosophila albomicans
Lineage: Eukaryota; Metazoa; Arthropoda; Insecta; Diptera; Drosophilidae
Exons: 3
Source: RefSeq, a predicted model, not a curated record